Molecule: ribosomal RNA, 252 nt
Filed under: uncultured bacterium
Lineage: Bacteria
Description: partial 16S ribosomal RNA
Rfam family: Bacterial small subunit ribosomal RNA
Source: RNAcentral
UACGUAGGUCCCGAACGUUGUCCGGAUUUAUUGGGCGUAAAGCGAGCGCAGGUGGUUUAUUAAGUCUGGUGUAAAAGGCAGUGGCUCAACCAUUGUAUGCAUUGGAAACUGGUAGACUUGAGUGCAGGAGAGGAGAGUAGAAUCCCAUGUGUAGCGGUGAAAUGCGUAGAUAUAUGGAGGAACACCGGUGGCGAAAGCGGCUCUCUGGCCUGUAACUGACACUGAGGCUCGAAAGCGUGGGGAGCAAACAGG